Molecule: ribosomal RNA, 523 nt
Filed under: uncultured bacterium
Lineage: Bacteria
Description: partial 16S ribosomal RNA
Rfam family: Bacterial small subunit ribosomal RNA
Source: RNAcentral
GACGAACGCUGGCGGCGUGCCUAAUACAUGCAAGUCAAACGCUUUUUCUUUCACCGGAGCUUGCUCCACCGAAAGAAAAAGAGUGGCGAACGGGUGAGUAACACGUGGGUAACCUGCCCAUCAGAAGGGGAUAACACUUGGAAACAGGUGCUAAUACCGUAUAACACUAUUUUCCGCAUGGAAGAAAGUUGAAAGGCGCUUUUGCGUCACUGAUGGAUGGACCCGGGGUGCAUUAGCUAGUUGGUGAGGUAACGGCUCACCAAGGCAACGAUGCAUAGCCGACCUGAGAGGGUGAUCGGCCACACUGGGACUGAGACACGGCCCAGACUCCUACGGGAGGCAGCAGUAGGGAAUCUUCGGCAAUGGACGAAAGUCUGACCGAGCAACGCCGCGUGAGUGAAGAAGGUUUUCGGAUCGUAAAACUCUGUUGUUAGAGAAGAACAAGGAUGAGAGUAAAACGUUCAUCCCUUGACGGUAUCUAACCAGAAAGCCACGGCUAACUACGUGCCAGCAGCCGCCGUAA